Long non-coding RNA from Xyrauchen texanus (razorback sucker), 1461 nucleotides. RefSeq lists it as uncharacterized. The record is from RefSeq and is a predicted model, not a curated record. The transcript is spliced from 4 exons. Lineage: Eukaryota; Metazoa; Chordata; Actinopteri; Cypriniformes; Catostomidae.
CAACGAGCGAGCAGACAGCCCGGGAAGGCUGUCUUCUUCACGUCGUGUCGCUGUCUCGUGUGGCACUUGACGUCCCCAUCAAGGACUUUGUGUACCCAGGUCCCCAAGCUGUGGAGAGCAGGUCCAUAGAUGGUCCAUUUACAAUAGGGCUGUGCCAACCACAUUCCCCCUGUCAGAAGCGACUGCUGUCAUGAAAUGGGACCCAGCUGCAACAGAGGCCCAAAUAAAGUCUGCUGCAUCUUUUCAUCUGAAACAUGCCCCCGGGAGAGUCGGGGGUGGUGGCUGUAAAUGAAUAUAUUGUGGACCUUAUAGCAGCCACAUUUUGUUAAUUGUUUACUGUUUUAACAAAAUAUUAUAGCACUUUUAUUUAUAACUUUACUGUUCUGGCUUUUAAGUUUUAUUAUAUUAUUGUGUUAAUUUAUACUUGACUGUUCAGGUUUUAAGUUGUAUUGUGUUAAUUUAUACUUGACUGUUCAGGUUUUAAGUUGUAUUGCGUUAAUUUAUACUUUACUGUUCUGGUUUUAAGUUUGGGUAAAAUUUGUAAUAAAAAUAUAUUUUCAGAUUUAAAUAAUUUAUUUCUUGGAGUGAUCAGUUUGUUUUACAGGAAAAUGUUAAGCAGUUUAUUACAAUUAUGUUGAUAAGAUAUACAAAUGCAAGACUAGUAUAUACACUACACUUUUAUUCAAUUGAAUAUUCAAUAUUAUCAAUAUUCUUUAAAAUCUAAUUUAGGUCUAUGGUCUGCGUGUCUGCAGUUUCAUGACACGACAACCAUUAACAAUGAGUAACUGGGUUUUUCUCAGUGAGAACUAACUCACUGCCACUGUUUUAAAGUAAAAACAUUUUAAAGUUGGAUCCUUGCAAAUAUGCACAGAUGGGAUUUCCAUGUCAGUAUGGGUCUUUAACAGUCUUCUUUGACAUUUCUACUACAGAAAACGUUUCUAAUACAACUUUUAUUCUGGCUGCCUUUAGAUGUCUUAACAAUUACGUCUGUAGCACGUCUUUAAUUGACGUCUAAAUGUCCUGAAAAGACUUCUAAAAAACUUUCAUUCUGGCUCCUGUGAGGAUGUCUUCUGGAUGUCUAACAAUUACGUCUUUUAGACGUGUUCUAGACGACUUUUUGCUCGCUGGGGUGAUUUAGAUUUUUUUUGGGACAGGAAUGAUGAUUGAGUGUUUGAAGCAGCAUGGCACCUGGAGGAUGAGGGGGUGAUUUAUUGUGUCGAUCAGCCAAUCAGAUAACCUGUAUGUAUGUGUAUUCUAUAUUGUGUGUAUUGUCUACUGUACAUUGUAUAUUAUUAUUGUGUUGUGUAAUUAUGUGUACAUGAGAUAUGUAAAUUGUGUUGUGUAAAUCUGUUGUUUAUUGUAAAUUGGUAUCAUCACUGUCAUGACUGCUAUGUUGCUCGGAACUGCACCCAAGACUUUCACCCACUGCUGCACUUGUGCAUAUGGUCGUGUGACAAUAAA